UUUUUAGUGUAAGUAUAUCCCACGCGAUAUUUGAGACAUAUUUACACUAAAA
This is a microRNA precursor of Felis catus (domestic cat), 52 nucleotides long. It matches the Rfam family "mir-1302 microRNA precursor family". The record is from Rfam. Lineage: Eukaryota; Metazoa; Chordata; Mammalia; Carnivora; Felidae.